Molecule: long non-coding RNA, 1710 nt
Filed under: Lathyrus oleraceus (garden pea)
Lineage: Eukaryota; Viridiplantae; Streptophyta; Magnoliopsida; Fabales; Fabaceae
Description: Pisum sativum (pea) long non-coding RNA (PSAT_LNC026232)
Source: RNAcentral
UUUGUUUUAGUUUUAAGACCGUUUGUGUUAGUACAAUUGGAGUUUUGAUUAAAUUAAUUAAUUUUCAUUUUUAUAUACUAGUUUUAUUUUUCUUCCUCUGGCUGUAUUUGUUACAGAUCACUGAGCUACUUUGUUAACGUUUAUGCUUGUAAUUGUUGUGUUGAUAAACUAUCUAUGAACUUUGUUGGAUUGGUUGCUUGAUAUUAGUUUCUUGAGGUUAAUCUUUCCCUUGAUUUGUCAAUGAAAGCUCAGUCUCUGAUAUCUCAAUUUUGUGUAAUCUCAUUUGCCUUUAGUUGGUGCCUCUCAUUAAUCCCUAGCGUGCAUCUGAAUAUUUUUUAAUACGUGUUGAGUAUGAGAAUAAGUUCUUGCAUCUUUUCCUUGUUUAGUCUUUUGGCCUAGGUCUGCCAUGUGAGUCUGGAUUGUGUCUGUAACCUAAUGUGCUUCAGUAUACUAGAUAUGAUGUGUUAGCUUAUGCAUAUUUGCUAAUAUUCGUUGAGUUUUAUUGAAGUUUGAUGUCUCUUCCUGCCCCGAAUGUGCUUGUGUAUGACUUUAAUGUUACUAUGAAUAUUUGUUUGUCUUAAUUGAGUGAUGGUUUCUUCCAUCUGAAUAUGAGUAUAUUCUUCUUUUCCAUAUAUCAAGUUAUCUUAAGUCUACCAUUUGGUCCUGAUUUGUGUAUGAAAUAUGAUGUGCUUUGAUCUUCUUGAAUCUGAUGUGAAUGCCUAGUUUCUGUUACUUGUUGAAUUUGAGUGAACUUUGAAGUCUCUUCCUGCACUGGAUGAGCAUGUUGUGUGUGCUCAGUCUAUUUUGAUAAAUUAGUGAUUUUUCUCGAUUGAAAUGUUGUGUACUCCUAUUGCAUGUGGCAUUAGAUUUUAAACCUUAAUUUCUAUGCCUUGAUUAGAAAUUGUCAUAGAUAUUCCAAGUGCUCCUGAAUUAUGUCUGCUAUAUGGUGUGUUGGAUCUAUCUGAAUUUGAUUUGGUUGUGUUGUAUAUUUUCUAUUAAUUGUUGAAUUUAUUUGAAUUUUGAUCUCCCUUAUUGCACUGGACAAAUAUGAUGUGUGUUUUUAGCAUGUUUAGUAUUGGGCCAUUAUGCCUUGAUUAGAAAUUUGGUCUCAAUGUUUCCAUUUGAAUUUGCAUCGUAUCUCUAGCUUUUAAAUUUGAAUUAAGUUUUUUUUUUGUCUGUUCCUGUACUUGAUGGAGAUGUUAUGUGUGAUCAACAUGCACUCACACAUUAUUGCUUUCCUCAAGCAUGCGUUGUCAAAAAAAAAAUAACUCUCAAAAAAUAGUGUAUGCUUACAAUAUAAGUAUGAAGUAGAGGAGUAUGAUGAAGUGUGCCUUGUUGGUUCGUUUGGAUUUGUUGCAUUUUGCAAAAUAGUAUGGAGUUUACUCAAGUUGGAUUUGGUGCAGAAGGAACACGUGUAAAACAAGAUGUACCAACAUGUGGACUAUAACAUUUAAUCUCUUGGAAACAGACAUAUGAGAAUUGCAGUUGGUUCAGAUUUCGUCUAUCCAAGAUUCUCUCCACAAUAGAAGAUUUGGAAGUCAAGGAGAAGAGUUUAUUUGGAUGUUCUAGUGCAACAUGUGGAACACGGUUAUACAACAUCUGACUUUGACAACAGGCCAUGUUGAAUGUUGUUUGAUGCAUAUUUUUUGAUUGAUUUUUAAUAAGAUUUGAUGCAAUUAUUUUUAGUAAUGUUUGGUUAAUUUAUUUGAU